This 1869-nucleotide ribosomal RNA is filed under the name Shigella sonnei. RNAcentral describes it as "bacterial LSU rRNA". It matches the Rfam family "Bacterial large subunit ribosomal RNA", at positions 1077 to 2925 of the family's 2925-position model. The record is from RNAcentral. Lineage: Bacteria; Pseudomonadati; Pseudomonadota; Gammaproteobacteria; Enterobacterales; Enterobacteriaceae.
GGGAAGGCCCAGACAGCCAGGAUGUUGGCUUAGAAGCAGCCAUCAUUUAAAGAAAGCGUAAUAGCUCACUGGUCGAGUCGGCCUGCGCGGAAGAUGUAACGGGGCUAAACCAUGCACCGAAGCUGCGGCAGCGACGCUUAUGCGUUGUUGGGUAGGGGAGCGUUCUGUAAGCCUGCGAAGGUGUGCUGUGAGGCAUGCUGGAGGUAUCAGAAGUGCGAAUGCUGACAUAAGUAACGAUAAAGCGGGUGAAAAGCCCGCUCGCCGGAAGACCAAGGGUUCCUGUCCAACGUUAAUCGGGGCAGGGUGAGUCGACCCCUAAGGCGAGGCCGAAAGGCGUAGUCGAUGGGAAACAGGUUAAUAUUCCUGUACUUGGUGUUACUGCGAAGGGGGGACGGAGAAGGCUAUGUUGGCCGGGCGACGGUUGUCCCGGUUUAAGCGUGUAGGCUGGUUUUCCAGGCAAAUCCGGAAAAUCAAGGCUGAGGCGUGAUGACGAGGCACUACGGUGCUGAAGCAACAAAUGCCCUGCUUCCAGGAAAAGCCUCUAAGCAUCAGGUAACAUCAAAUCGUACCCCAAACCGACACAGGUGGUCAGGUAGAGAAUACCAAGGCGCUUGAGAGAACUCGGGUGAAGGAACUAGGCAAAAUGGUGCCGUAACUUCGGGAGAAGGCACGCUGAUAUGUAGGUGAAGUCCCUUGCGGAUGGAGCUGAAAUCAGUCGAAGAUACCAGCUGGCUGCAACUGUUUAUUAAAAACACAGCACUGUGCAAACACGAAAGUGGACGUAUACGGUGUGACGCCUGCCCGGUGCCGGAAGGUUAAUUGAUGGGGUCAGCGCAAGCGAAGCUCUUGAUCGAAGCCCCGGUAAACGGCGGCCGUAACUAUAACGGUCCUAAGGUAGCGAAAUUCCUUGUCGGGUAAGUUCCGACCUGCACGAAUGGCGUAAUGAUGGCCAGGCUGUCUCCACCCGAGACUCAGUGAAAUUGAACUCGCUGUGAAGAUGCAGUGUACCCGCGGCAAGACGGAAAGACCCCGUGAACCUUUACUAUAGCUUGACACUGAACAUUGAGCCUUGAUGUGUAGGAUAGGUGGGAGGCUUUGAAGUGUGGACGCCAGUCUGCAUGGAGCCGGCCUUGAAAUACCACCCUUUAAUGUUUGAUGUUCUAACGUGGACCCGUGAUCCGGGUUGCGGACAGUGUCUGGUGGGUAGUUUGACUGGGGCGGUCUCCUCCUAAAGAGUAACGGAGGAGCACGAAGGUUGGCUAAUCCUGGUCGGACAUCAGGAGGUUAGUGCAAUGGCAUAAGCCAGCUUGACUGCGAGCGUGACGGCGCGAGCAGGUGCGAAAGCAGGUCAUAGUGAUCCGGUGGUUCUGAAUGGAAGGGCCAUCGCUCAACGGAUAAAAGGUACUCCGGGGAUAACAGGCUGAUACCGCCCAAGAGUUCAUAUCGACGGCGGUGUUUGGCACCUCGAUGUCGGCUCAUCACAUCCUGGGGCUGAAGUAGGUCCCAAGGGUAUGGCUGUUCGCCAUUUAAAGUGGUACGCGAGCUGGGUUUAGAACGUCGUGAGACAGUUCGGUCCCUAUCUGCCGUGGGCGCUGGAGAACUGAGGGGGGCUGCUCCUAGUACGAGAGGACCGGAGUGGACGCAUCACUGGUGUUCGGGUUGUCAUGCCAAUGGCACUGCCCGGUAGCUAAAUGCGGAAGAGAUAAGUGCUGAAAGCAUCUAAGCACGAAACUUGCCCCGAGAUGAGUUCUCCCUGACCCUUUAAGGGUCCUGAAGGAACGUUGAAGACGACGACGUUGAUAGGCCGGGUGUGUAAGCGCAGCGAUGCGUUGAGCUAACCGGUACUAAUGAACCGUGAGGCUUAACCUU